This 260-nucleotide long non-coding RNA is filed under the name Mytilus galloprovincialis (Mediterranean mussel). The record is from RNAcentral. Lineage: Eukaryota; Metazoa; Mollusca; Bivalvia; Mytilida; Mytilidae.
GCCUUGUUUCUGUGCCAAGAAUUUGCCACAUGCUGCAUGCAACUGGUUUUCUCCUACACCGAUAUGUUUAUCUUGAUUUAUUUCCAAAUAUUAGCUGGAUUAUAUUACCUUUGCAGCUGGUGAAGUUAUGGUUAAUUAACAGGUUUGCUUCGCCAUCGCAACUUGCACGGGAAUUCCCGAAGUUAUUAUUCUUUUGAAGAAAAUCCUGGAAGCUUUUCAUUAUACACAUUGAGCAAUCAAAAGGAUUACCGCCUAUAGAC